Molecule: long non-coding RNA, 275 nt
Filed under: Citrus maxima (pomelo)
Lineage: Eukaryota; Viridiplantae; Streptophyta; Magnoliopsida; Sapindales; Rutaceae
Description: long non-coding RNA (CMAX_LNC002206)
Source: RNAcentral
GUUGUGAAAAUUUUAAUGUACUCGCAAGCGCACGAAUCUAGAGAUAGAAUAGUGGUAACGAGGUCGAUCCCACAUGGAUUGUUAUAAAUUGAAAAGUCUAAUUUAAAUCUAAAAUUAAUAUUAAUUCUAACCUAGUUGAGAAAAUUGAGAUUUUAAGGGUAAUUAAACUAAUAAAGGAGAAUUCAAUAAGAUAAGAAUUACUAAGGUUUCAUAAUCCACUACUAUUCAACUAGUAAUUAUCUAAUUAUUAAUUAAUCCCCAAUUUUAGAGUGACA